RNAcentral lists this long non-coding RNA (531 nucleotides) under Phasianus colchicus (ring-necked pheasant). RNAcentral's name for it is "lncRNA (ENSPCLG00000008641.1)". The record is from RNAcentral. Lineage: Eukaryota; Metazoa; Chordata; Aves; Galliformes; Phasianidae.
AGGUCGAGCAGGUUACUGUGCCUGUGAAUUUCUGUCACUAUGAGGCAGAGUUAAUGCAGAUGACAAAGCAAUCCAAAGCUGCACGCCUUGGGGAACCUUGGCAAUUUGCAUGGCAAAGCAAAGAUAGACCGGAUCUGUGCCUCCUAGCUGCUGGUGGGGGAUGUUUCUAUCAGCCCCACUGGAGCCCAGAUUUCAUCCAGGAUGGUUUUGAAGAUCUUUUGACUAAAACAGACCCAAAGAAAAGAUGCAAAGCAGAGGUGACCUUCCAGGAAGGGUUUGGAGGUGAAAUGCCUGUUCAGAUUAUAGAAGGAAGUUCUUUCCACCCACUGAAAGUGGCACAAAUGCAGUUUGACACUGGGAGGAAAAUGAAACAAGUCAAAGGAGUGAAUGCUUCCUCUAUGUACAAUUCACCCACAAAGUGAAUCAGUGAGUGGCAUUGGUGUCUGCUGUACAGAAGAGUUACUAACACAGCUGAUUGCUGUGUUCCAGGCUGUACAAUAAAGACAGUUCUUCAUAAUAGUCUCUGCUACA